GCACGCCACAAUAAGGCGGAUAAGGUGCCAGAGGUGUACGACCUGUAUGCCAUGGCCCACACUGGCUCUUUCAAGAAAGUCAAGGCUUUCUCUCAGUCUGACCUCGAUGAUGCAAACAACUUCACCAACAUCUCCUCCCACAACAAGCUCGUGAGAUAUAGAGAUGAGGGGAAGGCGAGGAAAGGGGAGGACUUUAACCCGAGCCAGGGUCCCAUUGAUCCAGAGCUGGUGAUGAUAUCUGGUGGCGGGAGGUCCCAUGGCUCCAUAGCCAUUGGAGAUGGACUUAUCCGUUGUCCUAGCACUCUCCCGGAGAUCAAGGCGCGCCAGUCGAGCUCCGCUCCUGAGAUAAGGCCUCGUGAACGGCCAGUGCAACUCGCCAUCAAGGCU
RNAcentral lists this ribosomal RNA (387 nucleotides) under Triticum aestivum (bread wheat). RNAcentral describes it as "partial small subunit ribosomal RNA". The record is from RNAcentral. Lineage: Eukaryota; Viridiplantae; Streptophyta; Magnoliopsida; Poales; Poaceae.